This 376-nucleotide ribosomal RNA is filed under the name Escherichia coli O145:H28 str. 2009C-3292. Its description in RNAcentral is "bacterial SSU rRNA". It matches the Rfam family "Bacterial small subunit ribosomal RNA", at positions 1 to 374 of the family's 1533-position model. The record is from RNAcentral. Lineage: Bacteria; Pseudomonadati; Pseudomonadota; Gammaproteobacteria; Enterobacterales; Enterobacteriaceae.
AAUUGAAGAGUUUGAUCAUGGCUCAGAUUGAACGCUGGCGGCAGGCCUAACACAUGCAAGUCGAACGGUAACAGGAAGAAGCUUGCUUCUUUGCUGACGAGUGGCGGACGGGUGAGUAAUGUCUGGGAAACUGCCUGAUGGAGGGGGAUAACUACUGGAAACGGUAGCUAAUACCGCAUAACGUCGCAAGACCAAAGAGGGGGACCUUCAGGCCUCUUGCCAUCGGAUGUGCCCAGAUGGGAUUAGCUAGUAGGUGGGGUAAUGGCUCACCUAGGCGACGAUCCCUAGCUGGUCUGAGAGGAUGACCAGCCACACUGGAACUGAGACACGGUCCAGACUCCUACGGGAGGCAGCAGUGGGGAAUAUUGCACAAUGG